RNAcentral lists this ribosomal RNA (253 nucleotides) under uncultured bacterium. RNAcentral's name for it is "partial 16S ribosomal RNA". It matches the Rfam family "Bacterial small subunit ribosomal RNA", at positions 524 to 776 of the family's 1533-position model. The record is from RNAcentral.
UACGUAGGCAGCAAGCGUUGUUCGGAGUUACUGGGCGUAAAGAGUGCGUAGGUGGUUCUCUAAGUUCGGUGUGAAAUCUCCCGGCUCAACUGGGAGGGUGCGCCGAAAACUGGAGAGCUUGAGUAUGGGAGAGGAGAGCGGAAUUCCUGGUGUAGCGGUGAAAUGCGUAGAUAUCAGGAGGAACACCUGUGGUGCAGACGGCUCUCUGGACCAUUACUGACACUGAGGCACGAAAGCGUGGGGAGCAAACAGG